UGACGCUGUGCGGCAGGCCUAACACAUGCAAGUCGAGCGGAUGAAGGGAGCUUGCUCCCGGAUUCAGCGGCGGACGGGUGAGUAAUGCCUAGGAAUCUGCCUGGUAGUGGGGGACAACGUUCCGAAAGGAGCGCUAAUACCGCAUACGUCCUACGGGAGAAAGUGGGGGAUCUUCGGACCUCACGCUAUCAGAUGAGCCUAGGUCGGAUUAGCUAGUAGGUGGGGUAAUGGCUCACCAUAGGCGACGAUCCGUAACUGGUCUGAGAGGAUGAUCAAGUCACACUGGAACUGAGACACGGUCCAGACUCCUACGGGAGGCAACAAGUGGGGAAUAUUUGGACAAUGGGCGAAAGCUGAUCCAGCCAUGCCCCUGUGUGAAGAAGGUCCUCCGGWUUUAAAGCACUUUAGUUGGAGGAAGGCAUAGUUAUACCUGCUGUUUUACUUACAAAAAAAAGACGGUAWUCUGCAA
This 469-nucleotide ribosomal RNA is filed under the name Acinetobacter baumannii. RNAcentral describes it as "bacterial SSU rRNA". It matches the Rfam family "Bacterial small subunit ribosomal RNA", at positions 39 to 506 of the family's 1533-position model. The record is from RNAcentral. Lineage: Bacteria; Pseudomonadati; Pseudomonadota; Gammaproteobacteria; Moraxellales; Moraxellaceae.